Molecule: ribosomal RNA, 266 nt
Filed under: Bacillus wiedmannii
Lineage: Bacteria; Bacillati; Bacillota; Bacilli; Caryophanales; Bacillaceae
Description: partial 16S ribosomal RNA
Rfam family: Bacterial small subunit ribosomal RNA
Source: RNAcentral
CCGCGGUAAUACGUAGGUGGCAAGCGUUAUCCGGAAUUAUUGGGCGUAAAGCGCGCGCAGGUGGUUUCUUAAGUCUGAUGUGAAAGCCCACGGCUCAACCGUGGAGGGUCAUUGGAAACUGGGAGACUUGAGUGCAGAAGAGGAAAGUGGAAUUCCAUGUGUAGCGGUGAAAUGCGUAGAGAUAUGGAGGAACACCAGUGGCGAAGGCGACUUUCUGGUCUGUAACUGACACUGAGGCGCGAAAGCGUGGGGAGCAAACAGGAUUA